CGCAGAGCGGAACUUCAAAGCCUGUCUCAGUUCGGAUUGGAGUCUGCAACCCGACCUCCAUGAAGCUGGAUUCGCUAGUAAUCGCGCAUCAGCCACGGCGCGGUGAAUACGUUCCCGGGCCUUGUACACACCGCCCGUCAAGCCAUGGAAGCCGGGAGUGCCUGAAGUGCGCAACCGCAAGGAGCGCCCUAAGGUAAAACCGGUGACUGGGGCUAAGUCGUAACAAGGUACC
Molecule: ribosomal RNA, 232 nt
Filed under: uncultured bacterium
Lineage: Bacteria
Description: partial 16S ribosomal RNA
Rfam family: Bacterial small subunit ribosomal RNA
Source: RNAcentral